This 3944-nucleotide long non-coding RNA is filed under the name Brassica napus (rape). RNAcentral describes it as "long non-coding RNA (BNAP_LNC010596)". Lineage: Eukaryota; Viridiplantae; Streptophyta; Magnoliopsida; Brassicales; Brassicaceae. The record is from RNAcentral.
UUACAUUUUGUGAUGACUAGAAAAUAAACACCAACAUAUAAAGUAGUAGCAUAAAACUCUCGUGGUAAUAAUGUCUGGAAUACACUCAAAGUCUCUAUAACACCAUACUAUUCACAAACAAAAACAUUUUUGCUUCUUAAUAAAACUUCCGAAAAACAUACAAAUACAAUUAAAAAAACCUUACAUGUUUGCUAUCGUUGUGACAAAAGGCACCAAUCUUCUGUAAUCUCUUCUUCCCAGAGCACAGCUAUCAAGAACUCGUCCCAAUAUCAGCCUUGUGUUCUGCAAAGCCACAUCUCUCGGAGGUAUCCCUGAUUCUCCUGCAGCCGAUAUUUUCGUUUUUAAAAUUUAUAAACCUUCUUUACUCUAUUGGUUAUUUGAAAAAAUAAAGAAAAAGGAAACCUAAAUAAAAAAAGAAAAAAAAAAUAGAAUAAAUAUUUAAUAAUAAUAAUUAGAUUUAUUUGAUUCAUUAAAGGUAUCAUUGUAAUCAACCACUAUGAGAGUUAAUGUAAGCAUGCCACGUAUGAAACUGACUUCUCAAAUAAUAUUAUAGAGAUAUAGAUAUAAGAAAGCAAUCAUAAAACCCAUAUGUAACCCUAGCACCGGUAAGUCCAUAACUUUACCAAGAGUAGUCAGGAUCUUUACAAGUUUCUUCGGGUAUGAUCCAGUUAAUGAUCAUUACAAAAUAUUACUCAUGACGAAAAACCAGCCUGACGGUCAGGAAUCACCAUUAUCUGAAUAUCAAGUACUCACAUUGGGAGCUGAACAGUCUUCUUGGAGAAUGAUAGAAUGUAGCAUUCCCCACAGUUUUCACUCUAGCCGUCAUGUGUGUAUAGAUGGUGUUGUUUACUAUGCUGUUAGAACAGGCGCUGACUUGUCCCAACGGAGCUUGACGAAAUUCGAUUUGAGGUAUGAAACUUUGGAUCUUAUAACUUGUUUACCCGCAGACAUGCCAAGUACUCCACGUAGUUUGAUAAACUACGAGGGGAAAGUAGCCAUACCCACUAAUACUAGCGGAAACACAUUUAAUGUGUGGGUUAUAGAUCAGGCUGCUCCAAAACAUGGAUGGUUGAAGAAAAGUUUUAGUAUCGAAUCUUGGAGAAGAUCACCAAAGUUACGCAUAUAUGGCUCUACUCACACGGGUGAGUUUGUUUUGGCACCAAGGUACUAUUCUGAUGACUUUAAUGUUAUAAUUUACAAUCCUGACACGAAUGGUUUGAGAAAAAUUAAGGUUGAGGUUAACGGAGACUAUGAGUUCAAGCUUGGUCAUUAUCGUACGAGAGCAAUGGUUUAUUCAGAGUAUGUUGAGAGCAUUAGGUUGUUGUAAGAGAGACAGUUUUCAUAGUUUGCGUUUAUUUAAUUAAUUUAAUGUUUGCGUUGAUUAUGCUUUUAUUCCAUAAACUUGUUUGAUUCAUCCGCUAGAAUGCUAGGUAUAGUCUCCUAUAUAUCACGAGUUAUGACCAGUUGUUUUCGUUUUCUGCUAUGUCGUUCUCGUUGGCAUUAGCUAUCGUUUAUGCCUACCUUAGUAACAUACAAUAUAUGUUUUUAUAUGAAUAACUAUUUGAUACUUUAUACUGUUUAGUGCUUUUCUUAAAUAAUUUAGGUUUAUUUAAAUAAACUGUAGUAAUAUGUUUUUAACAUUAACUGUAGCAAUAUGUUAUAGUAGUAAAAAAAUAUGUUGUAGUAAUUUGUAAUACUGCUUCAAUGAAAAUAGAACUUGAGAAUUACAUGAGCCAAGAAAACCAGCACCACAGUUUAUAUGUAAACGGUUUCAUAAGCAUCGAUCAUGGUCAAAAGAAUUUCAUAACUAAUCCCACUACCGGUAAGUCCAUAGCUAGAGUCGGAACCACGAGACUGGUCGAGAAAAGUAUGAUUGGAUAUGAUUCAGUUAAUGAUCAGUACAAAUAAAUAUUAUACAUUACGAAAUUCGAUUUGAGGUAUGAAACUUUGGAUCUUUUAUCAUCUUAUCCACAGACAUACCAAGUGGACCAGUUGGCUCAUUAAUAAACUACGAGGGUAGAGUAGCCGUGUCCUUUCAAACUUCAACACACACUACAGUUAAAGUGUGGGUUGUAAUGGAUCAUGGAUGGUUGAAAAGAAGGUCUAAAUGAACAUUGUAAGAGACCAUCUUAGACAUAAUAAUUUACUAGAAAUUGAUUAAUUUACCUGCGCGGUUAUUAGUUUUUACAUUUUUAUACAUUGAUAUUUGUAUUUCAUAAUUAAUUGUAUAUUUUAAUGAUUCAUAAUAUAAUUAAUUAUAUUCAAAAAACAUGGACCGAAUCGGAUAAUAUGAUUAUUUUUGGUACAAAUAUCCGAACCGUUUCAAAUACAUUUGUUAUUUAGAUAUUUUUAGGUUUCUAUACAUCAGAACCGAACUCAUCCAGAAUCAGAAAGUACACAACUCAAAAUCCACACAUAAAUUUAAAAUAUUCAAGUGGGGCUUAAUUUCAAAAAAAAAAGAUACAAAAAAAAACAACCCGUACCUAAAUGGAUACCUAAUGUUCAUGCGUAACUGAUUUUACAAAAUAAUAAAAAUGACUUGUUCUAUGUGUUUGCCUAAAUUAAGUGAAACAGAAAAAGUUUUUUAUUUAGUAAAAAUUAAGUGACAAUAAAUGUAAUACAUUAAUAAAUGUAAUACAUUUUUAAUAUUUUGAUUUAAGUUAUUAUUUUAUUCACAAAACAUGUCUUUGAAUUAUGUUUUUGACUACGUAAUUUUCUACCGAUUGAAACUAAAAGUAAAAAAAAACUAAACAGAACGUUUAACCAUAUGCAAAACCCAUUUAUUUAACAUUUUGAUUUUAUAAUGGACACAAAGUUAAUGUGAUUAACUAAUAAAUAAAAAUCUGCACUAUUAUUAUUAUGAUAAUAUAAUUAAUGAUGUGAUGUGUUGUUAAAAUAAUAUAAUUAAUAAAAUUGUUAAACUGAGUGAAAUAUGAAAAAACAAUUAAUGUAAUUAUAUUAAUGAAAUUACUAAAAAUAUACUAUACUUUUUUAUACUGCUAUCCAUAUUUUCAAUCAAUUUUUAUUUAUACGGUUAUUCAUGUUUUCAAACAAUACCAAAAGAUACUCCGAUUUAAUAAUAUAGAUACCCAGGCGGGUGAAUUUAUUUUGACACCAAGGUUUUGUUCUCCUGUGUAUAUUGUUGGGUCUUUUUUUUACAAUGCCGACAACACGAAUGGUUUUAGAACCAUUAAAGUUGAACUAAGCAAAGACUAUGAGCUCAAGGCUCAAGCGUUGGUGUUUAAGGAGAGUAUUUGUUUUCCCGGAUUAUGUAUGUAGAGAGUGUUAGCUAGGUUUUUGUAGGAGAGGCAGUCUUCAUGGAAUGAUACCAAGUCUUUUAAAAUGUUUGCGUUGAUUAAAAUUUACUAAGAAAUAAUAUCUUUUUAGUCUUGCCUGCUAAUAUCUUUUUAGUCUUGCCUGCUUUGUCUCCUAUCUAAAAUUUUCAUUUCUAAACUUCAUCUAACGAUGAAAUAUUAAUUGAAAAGAUAAAAAUAUGUUACAUUUUGUGAUGACUAGAAAAUAAACACCAACAUAUAAAGUAGUAGCAUAAAACUCUCGUGGUAAUAAUGUCUGGAAUACACUUGGUCUCUAUAACACCAAACUAUUCACAAACAAAAUCAUUUUUGCUUCUUAAUAAAACUUCCGAAAAGCAUACAAAUACAACUAAAAAACCUUACAUGUUUGCGAUCGUUGUGACAAAAGGCACCAAUCUUCUGUAAUCUCUUCUUCCCAGAGCACAGCUAUCAAGAACUCGUCCCAAUAUCAGCCUUGUGUUCUGCAAAGCCACAUCUCUCGGAGGUAUCCCUGAUUCUCCUGCAGCUGCUCCGAGAGGAAAAGCCUGCGACAUUGUUGCCGCCAUCAUUGUGUACUGGAGAGGUCCGCUUCGAGCUUUGAACGAAGUCUGAGGUACAAGCGUUUUCUCAUGAUCAGUCCCGUUCUCAAAG